GCAGCGUUUCUUACUCUUUUCACCCCUUAGUCUUCUCCGCCGUAGGCAAUGCUAGGGUUUCAGUCUAAUACGGCGCCGAUCGAUUGCUUUUACAGUUUCGAACGAUUCAUACUUCUUCUUCCUCCUGGUCCAGAAAUCAUUCGGUCACGGAUUCAUUGCUAUUAAAUUCUUUCUUAACUCCAUCGUCACGAUCUAUCUUCAAUGACACAUCUGCUCUUCGAAGGCGGUGGAGGUUCGACUAUAAAAAGUCCGGUAGAUGUUCUUCCACAGCUGAGGUUAGGUUAUUGUGUUUCUGGGAGGCUAGGAAUAUCAGGCGCGGUGAUGAACUGAUGUCUGCUCCUGCUUGAUUCAAAUGCGGCUCUUAUGCCAGCCACCGUUGCACCUAGCCGGGUUCCAACCUUUGGUUU
Brassica oleracea var. oleracea is the source of this 407-nucleotide long non-coding RNA. RefSeq lists it as uncharacterized. The record is from RefSeq and is a predicted model, not a curated record. The transcript is spliced from 3 exons. Lineage: Eukaryota; Viridiplantae; Streptophyta; Magnoliopsida; Brassicales; Brassicaceae.